CCCUCUCUAAUCACACCCCACCCUCUCUAUUCAAACUCUCUCUAUUCAGAUUCAAACCGCAUGACCAAAAUAAAUAAGCCCCUGGGACCUCGCCUCUCUACAAGACACCAUACUCUAUUUAAAGAAAAUGAGACAAUAGUGUCCUGAUCUAUCACACUGUAGGUUGCGUCAAUAUUCAUACUUGAUAUCGAGCUAAUUUCCUGUUCUGAUCAACUACGCAUGCCUGUGCCGGAGAUAACGUCGCUGGAUAAACAGACAUUUAAACAUGUUAACUGAGACAGGAUUUAUACAGGAUAUGGCAGUACAUCCCGCCUUCUCGUGACGACGUAAAGCAACGUAGGAUGACAAAGUAAAGACAAAGAAUAUUAUAUAUA
Non-coding RNA from Paramuricea clavata, 374 nucleotides. Lineage: Eukaryota; Metazoa; Cnidaria; Anthozoa; Malacalcyonacea; Plexauridae. The record is from the annotation of a GenBank genome assembly.